GGGAAAGUUGGCGAUGCGCCAAAAUUGUGUAUUUGAUCUGAGUGAUGACUUACAAUGACCCCGGGCACACAUAUUUAUACCCUCGGGAUUUAACUAACCUAGCCGGACAAGGAUCUGUACUAACAACUAACUGUAUACACUCGGACUCUAAUUAGAUAUAAAAUCCUAAAAAAACUCUAAGAUAAAAGUUAACUAAUUUACACAGACUCUUGA
Molecule: long non-coding RNA, 213 nt
Filed under: Oryza brachyantha (malo sina)
Lineage: Eukaryota; Viridiplantae; Streptophyta; Magnoliopsida; Poales; Poaceae
Description: long non-coding RNA (OBRA_LNC003421)
Source: RNAcentral